AGAACGAACGCUGGCGGCAUGCCUAACACAUGCAAGUCGAACGAGACCUUCGGGUCUAGUGGCGCACGGGUGCGUAACGCGUGGGAAUCUGCCCUUAGGUACGGAAUAACUCAGGGAAACUUGUGCUAAUACCGUAUGAUGUCGAGAGACCAAAGAUUUAUCGCCUAGGGAUGAGCCCGCGUAGGAUUAGCUAGUUGGUGGGGUAAAGGCCUACCAAGGCUACGAUCCUUAGCUGGUCUGAGAGGAUGAUCAGCCACACUGGGACUGAGACACGGCCCAGACUCCUACGGGAGGCAGCAGUGGGAAUAUUGGACAAUGGGCGAAAGCCUGAUCCAGCAAUGCCGCGUGAGUGAAGAAGGCCUUGGGUUGUAAAGCUCUUUUACCCGGGAAGAUAAUGACUGUACCGGGAGAAUAAGCUCCGGCUAACUCCGUGCCAGCAGCCGC
This 444-nucleotide ribosomal RNA is filed under the name uncultured bacterium. RNAcentral's name for it is "SSU rRNA". It matches the Rfam family "Bacterial small subunit ribosomal RNA", at positions 26 to 518 of the family's 1533-position model. The record is from RNAcentral.